Molecule: ribosomal RNA, 460 nt
Filed under: uncultured bacterium
Lineage: Bacteria
Description: partial 16S ribosomal RNA
Rfam family: Bacterial small subunit ribosomal RNA
Source: RNAcentral
CCUACGGGGGGCAGCAGUGAGGAAUAUUGGUCAAUGGACGAGAGUCUGAACCAGCCAAGUAGCGUGAAGGAUGACUGCCCUAUGGGUUGUAAACUUCUUUUAUAUGGGAAUAAAAUGUUCCACGUGUGGGAUUUUGUAUGUACCAUAUGAAUAAGGAUCGGCUAACUCCGUGCCAGCAGCCGCGGUAAUACGGAGGAUCCGAGCGUUAUCCUGAUUUAUUGGGUUUAAAGGGAGCGUAGGUGGAUUGUUAAGUCAGUUGUGAAAGUUUGCGGCUCAACCGUAAAAUUGCAGUUGAAACUGGCAGUCUUGCGUACAGUAGAGGUGGGCGGAAGUCGUGGGGUAGCGGUGAAAUGCUUAGAUAUCACGAAGAACUCCGAUUGCGAAGGCAGUUCACUGGACUGCAACUGACACUGAGGCUCGAAAGUGUGGGUAUCAAACAGGAUUAGAUACCCUUGUAGUC